AAAUUAUCAGUCUUUGAGAGUUGGC
RNAcentral lists this non-coding RNA (25 nucleotides) under Cricetulus griseus (Chinese hamster). The record is from RNAcentral. Lineage: Eukaryota; Metazoa; Chordata; Mammalia; Rodentia; Cricetidae.